RNAcentral lists this ribosomal RNA (330 nucleotides) under uncultured bacterium. RNAcentral describes it as "bacterial SSU rRNA". It matches the Rfam family "Bacterial small subunit ribosomal RNA", at positions 568 to 898 of the family's 1533-position model. The record is from RNAcentral.
UGCGCAGGCGGCUUGUCAAGUCAUGUGUGAAAUACCCAGGCUUAACUUGGGGGGUGCAUAUGAAACUGGCGAGCUUGAGUGCAGGAGAGGGGAGCGGAAUUCCUAGUGUAGCGGCGAAAUGCGUAGAUAUUAGGAGGAACACCAGUGGCGAAGGCGGCUCUCUGGACUGCAACUGACGCUGAGGCACGAAAGCGUGGGGAGCAAACAGGAUUAGAUACCCUGGUAGUCCACGCGGUAAACGAUGGAUACUAGGUGUAGGGGGUGUAUGCCCUCUGUGCCGGAGCAAACGCAAUAAGUAUCCCGCCUGGGGAGUACGGCCGCAAGGUUGAA